AUACCUUUCUCGGCUUUUUGGCUAAGAUCAAGUGUAGUAUCUGUUCUUAUCAGUUUAAUAUUUGAUAUGUGCGGUUAUCGGUCCACAUGAUAUUAACUCUAUUUUUUUCGGGUGAAAGCCCACUAAAAUAGCUUGCUAUCCGGGCUUUCUGAAUCGUCUAGGCAUUGCACUACUGUAAGGGCAGGCUCAACCCAU
Raphanus sativus (radish) is the source of this 195-nucleotide small nuclear RNA. RefSeq annotates it as U2 spliceosomal RNA. The transcript has a single exon. NCBI's taxonomy places the organism in Eukaryota, Viridiplantae, Streptophyta, Magnoliopsida, Brassicales, Brassicaceae. The record is from RefSeq and is a predicted model, not a curated record.